AGCCUGCGUUAUAUUUUGGGUUCAUUCAUUUCAAUUCCUGUGAACGGUAAAAAAGAAAAAAAGAAAAAAAAGGUUAAGAUGUUUAAAAACGUUUAAAAAGCAAUUUCCAAACACUAGUAAUAUUCCUAUGUCAAAUGCCUUUGUUAUGUACAAUUUUGUAUUUUAUUUCUGUAUUUAAUAAUUGCCAAAUUAUUUUACUAGUUUCUAAUUGGUUAAGGAUACUGAUCCUUGUUGCGCAAUUGGAAGGGGAGAAAAAAAGAGAGAGAGUUCGGCGGAGGGAGGUGAAGGAGACAGUCUGCUCGGUUGUUCCUCCCAGUUAGCAUAAGCUAAACUAAAACUUUCCCAGCUAAGGAAAGGCAGCUGCAGUCAAGUGUUCGGCCAGGACAUUUAUUAAAGCAGUGGACUUUGGUUAUGUGCGGUGGGACACUUUUCCUCUGUUUUAUUCAAGAAGUCGCAGCUUGGACUGUUGUGAAAACUGACGCGACACACGCGAGAGCACGCUAGGUUAAAAGACAGUGAGGAGGGUUGGCUACCGCGUCGGGGAGCUACACCACUGCUGUUCUUUGUGAACUUAGAGGUGAGAAUCGUCUUGGACACCGGAGGAGUUGUGGUUUCGUUUGGAAAAGGCGACCAAGAUCGACUACACGGUGGGGACCGGGAGAUUCAGUGCUGCGGGAGUCCAUGCAGGAGGCGCGUGCGGAGCCACGAGCCACGAGAGGUCCACGCUGUGAGCACGUGAACGCUCCACUCUUCACUUCUAAACGCAACGAGUCAGGUACCGAGUCAAUUUCUUUUGUUUGCUCAUUGAGUGAAGCGGCCAGUGUUUAAGUUUCCAGGCCCCAACGCACUCAAGCGACGUUCAGGCCUGCAACGUACUUUUUUGGGUCAAUUUAGUUAUUAUAAAGCCGGCAUAGCUUAGGAUUUGCUAAUGACUCUGAUGAUUUUGUUUGUUGUAUUUGUUUGUUAAUGCCCUGAAAGUGACUGAUGGACACCGAGGGUUUGAUUUUUGAACUUUAAAGGGAAACUGUAAUUGUAAGGUUUUGAGUUAAUUCACAUUCCUUAUUGACUGUACAUUGCUUUAAAGGUAAUUUGAGUUAUUUUAAGUUGUGCCAAUUCCUUCCAAUGUGUUUAUGGUUUAUUUACAAAUGUAAGAUAUUUCAGUUUACUACAUUCAGGGUAAUUUCAUUUGAAAUAUAUUUUCAUAGUAAAAAGAAGAAUGACA
Molecule: long non-coding RNA, 1222 nt
Organism: Xiphophorus hellerii (green swordtail)
Lineage: Eukaryota; Metazoa; Chordata; Actinopteri; Cyprinodontiformes; Poeciliidae
Exons: 2
Source: RefSeq, a predicted model, not a curated record